RNAcentral lists this ribosomal RNA (165 nucleotides) under Pristiglottis sp. LSJ-2013. RNAcentral describes it as "5.8S ribosomal RNA". It matches the Rfam family "5.8S ribosomal RNA". Rfam says of the family: 5.8S ribosomal RNA (5.8S rRNA) is a component of the large subunit of the eukaryotic ribosome. It is transcribed by RNA polymerase I as part of the 45S precursor that also contains 18S and 28S rRNA. Functionally, it is thought that 5.8S rRNA may be involved in ribosome translocation. Lineage: Eukaryota; Viridiplantae; Streptophyta; Magnoliopsida; Asparagales; Orchidaceae. The record is from RNAcentral.
UAUGACUCUCGGCAAUGGAUAUCUUGGCUCUUGCAUCGAUGAAGAGCGCAGCGAAAUGCGAUACGUGGUGUGAAUUGCAGAAUCCCGUGAACCAUCAAGUCUUUGAACGCAAGUUGCGCCCGAGGCCAAUUGGCUAAGGGCACGUCCGCCUGGGCGUCAAGCAUU